ACUCCUACGGGAGGCAGCAGUGGGGAAUAUUGCACAAUGGGCGCAAGCCUGAUGCAGCCAUGCCGCGUGUGUGAAGAAGGCCUUCGGGUUGUAAAGCACUUUCAGUUGUGAGGAAAGGUUAGUCGCUAAUAUCGGCUAGCUGUGACGUUAGCAACAGAAGAAGCACCGGCUAACUACGUGCCAGCAGCCGCGGUAAUACGUAGGGGGCGAGCGUUGUCCGGAAUCAUUGGGCGUAAAGCGCGUGUAGGCGGUUCAGUAAGUCUGCUGUGAAAGUCCAGGGCUCAACCCUGGGAUGCCGGUGGAUACUGCUGAACUAGAGUCUGGAAGGGGCGAGUGGAAUUCCUGGUGUAGCGGUGGAAUGCGCAGAUAUCAGGAGGAACACCUAUGGCGAAGGCAGCUCGCUGGGACAGUACUGACGCUGAGACGCGAAAGCGUGGGAGCAAACAGGAUUAGAUACCCUGGUAGGCUCUG
Molecule: ribosomal RNA, 471 nt
Filed under: uncultured bacterium
Lineage: Bacteria
Description: bacterial SSU rRNA
Rfam family: Bacterial small subunit ribosomal RNA
Source: RNAcentral